UACGUAGGGGGCAAGCGUUGUCCGGAUUCAUUGGGCGUAAAGGGCGCGCAGGCGGCCCGGAAAGUCGGAUGUGAAAACUCGAGGCUCAACCUCGAGCGUGCACCCGAUACUGCCGGGCUUGAGGCAGGUAGGGGAGAUCGGAAUUCCUGGUGUAGCGGUGAAAUGCGCAGAUAUCAGGAGGAACACCGGUGGCGAAGGCGGAUCUCUGGGCCUGUCCUGACGCUGAGGCGCGAAGGUCAGGGGAGCAAACGGG
Molecule: ribosomal RNA, 253 nt
Filed under: uncultured bacterium
Lineage: Bacteria
Description: partial 16S ribosomal RNA
Rfam family: Bacterial small subunit ribosomal RNA
Source: RNAcentral